UUAGUAAAGAAGUAAAAAAUUUACAUUUAGUUUCGACCUAAAAUUAAGAACAAUAAUGAUUCUCAUACUAAU
This 72-nucleotide transfer RNA is filed under the name Pediopsoides anchorides. RNAcentral describes it as "tRNA-Arg". The record is from RNAcentral. Lineage: Eukaryota; Metazoa; Arthropoda; Insecta; Hemiptera; Cicadellidae.